GGGACGGGUGAGUAACACGUGGAUAACCUACCUAUAAGACUGGGAUAACUUCGGGAAACCGGAGCUAAUACCGGAUAAUAUAUUGAACCGCAUGGUUCAAUAGUGAAAGACGGUUUUGCUGUCACUUAUAGAUGGAUCCGCGCCGCAUUAGCUAGUUGGUAAGGUAACGGCUUACCAAGGCAACGAUGCGUAGCCGACCUGAGAGGGUGAUCGGCCACACUGGAACUGAGACACGGUCCAG
RNAcentral lists this ribosomal RNA (241 nucleotides) under uncultured Staphylococcus sp. Its description in RNAcentral is "partial 16S ribosomal RNA". It matches the Rfam family "Bacterial small subunit ribosomal RNA", at positions 100 to 334 of the family's 1533-position model. The record is from RNAcentral. Lineage: Bacteria; Bacillati; Bacillota; Bacilli; Caryophanales; Staphylococcaceae.